UGGGGAAUAUUGGACAAUGGGCGAAAGCCUGAUCCAGCCAUGCCGCGUGUGUGAAGAAGGUCUUCGGAUUGUAAAGCACUUUAAGUUGGGAGGAAGGGCAUUAACCUAAUACGUUAGUGUUUUGACGUUACCGACAGAAUAAGCACCGGCUAACUCUGUGCCAGCAGCCGCGGUAAUACAGAGGGUGCAAGCGUUAAUCGGAAUUACUGGGCGUAAAGCGCGCCGAGGUGGUUUGUUAAGUUGGAUGUGAAAUCCACGGGCUCAACCUGGGAACUGCAUUCAAAACUGACUGACUAGAGUAUUGUAGAGGGUGGUGGAAUUUCCUGUGUAGCGGUGAAAUGCGUAGAUAUAGGAAGGAACACCAGUGGCGAAGGCGACCACCUGGACUAAUACUGACACUGAGGUGCGAAAGCGUGGGGAGCAAACA
Molecule: ribosomal RNA, 427 nt
Filed under: uncultured bacterium
Lineage: Bacteria
Description: partial 16S ribosomal RNA
Rfam family: Bacterial small subunit ribosomal RNA
Source: RNAcentral